AACGAACGCUGGCGGCAUGCCUAACACAUGCCAGUCGAACGAGACCUUCGGGUCUAGUGGCGCACGGGUGCGUAACGCGUGGGAACCUGCCCUUAGGUUCGGAAUAACUCCCCGAAAGGGGUGCUAAUACCGGAUAAUGUCUUCGGACCAAAGAUUUAUCGCCUUUGGAUGGGCCCGCGUUGGAUUAGCUAGUUGGUAGGGUAAAAGCCUACCAAGGCGACGAUCCAUAGCUGGUCUGAGAGGAUGAACAGCCACACUGGGACUGAGACACGGCCCAGACUCCUACGGGAGGCAGCAGUGGGGAAUAUUGGACAAUGGGCGAAAGCCUGAUCCAGCAAUGCCGCGUGAGUGAUGAAGGCCUUAGGGUUGUAAAGCUCUUUUACCCGGGAUGAUAAUGACAGUACCGGGAGAAUAAGCUCCGGCUAACUCCGUG
Molecule: ribosomal RNA, 433 nt
Filed under: uncultured bacterium
Lineage: Bacteria
Description: partial 16S ribosomal RNA
Rfam family: Bacterial small subunit ribosomal RNA
Source: RNAcentral